RNAcentral lists this long non-coding RNA (903 nucleotides) under Homo sapiens (human). RNAcentral's name for it is "non-protein coding lnc-SH3BGRL-2:1". The record is from RNAcentral. Lineage: Eukaryota; Metazoa; Chordata; Mammalia; Primates; Hominidae.
AUGCUUAGAGAAGCUUUCCUAAUUGAUCUUCUGUACAAAGAACAGAAAUAUGCAAAAUUUUGCAAACCAUUUACAUGUAAGAAGACUGAAAAGGAAACUUGGAAAAAGAAGAUUUUAGAUAGAGAAGAAAAUUCACUUUCCUCUGCUAAGAUGGAAAAUCAAGAAACAACUAGGAAAGAAAGUGUAACAGAGCAAAAUGAUGAUACAGAUCAAAUAAAAUCUGUGGAUGAGACAACUGUAGCAAAAUGCAAAGGUAUUACCUCUUCCAGGAAAUGUGUCAGUUGCGUUGCCCAUUUCAAAGAGAGAAAAACAUGAUCAAAGACAACUAGAUUUAUAUAGAUCCUGGUUGUGUAUGAGUAUUUGUCACAAUUAUUCUGACCUACAGAUUGGAGGUGACGAUGUGAGGAACAUGUGUGAUUCAGGCUGCUUUACGGAACACACACAUAAUGAUGUUUUUAAUGGUCCCCUUUUGUUUUCAGUUGGUAGGCCACUGGGUCAUUCUCCUGUCAUUGGGCCUCUAGAGACAUUACCUACCUCAAAAUUAUUGAAUGGGGAUGAAAGCCAAGAAAAAAGUAUGUUGUUUCAUAAACAGCCCCUCUCUAAUUCUAUGCUUAAUACUUAUAUGGAAAGAAAGGUGGACUAGCUCUGCAAACAAUUAUUGGAAGAAAAUCUCACCAGAUGCCACUCUGUAACCAAUCUUAUGGCUUCCAAUUUGCUAAUGAAUAAUGUAAAUUACAUCAGCUUUCAAAUCUCUCAAGAGCAGAACAUUGAGUUAUGGAAAGCUCAGGAAGCUGCCCUACACUCUACCACUAUGUAAUCUGUGUAACAUUUCUCAUGGAAAGAGUGGAAAGAGUUCUUAAUUCAGUACCCCUGACUUACAAAUAUCGAACCAGACAAGUAGGG